This is a non-coding RNA of Rattus norvegicus (Norway rat), 68 nucleotides long. The record is from Rfam. NCBI's taxonomy places the organism in Eukaryota, Metazoa, Chordata, Mammalia, Rodentia, Muridae.
GGAAUUUAGCUCAGUGGUAGAGCGCUUGCCUAGGAAGCGCAAGGCCCUGGGUUCGAUCCCCAGCUCCG